This 2651-nucleotide long non-coding RNA is filed under the name Mus musculus (house mouse). RNAcentral describes it as "long non-coding RNA chr19:26609146-26611797". Lineage: Eukaryota; Metazoa; Chordata; Mammalia; Rodentia; Muridae. The record is from RNAcentral.
AGAGCCCACCUCAUGCAGCCUUUCUCUAGGGACUUGUAUCACUCACAGUCCAGCAUUGGAUCUGACUGCACUCUGGUGUCUCACAGAAAACACCACAGAGCCUGUUCAAAGCAGCCUUAGAUCUUUGCUUUUGUUCUUUUGUAAAGUGGGUUUUUUUUUUAAACAUUUCUCAUCAAGUUUCUUGAAAAAAAAAAUGCUCUGCCCAACACCUAAGGCUUAGAACUAACAGCAAUAAAAGUGUGUCUCUUGUAUGGUUAGUGCUUGAAUUCUUUUUUUUUUUUUUUUUAUUUAAGUAUUCUGACACAGUAUACUUAGAAAGUAACCCCUUUGCAGGUAGUUAUUUAAAGCUCUGUUUCUUUGUAAGUUGAAAAUAAACCGUUCUGCAGGUGGGGGUAAGAGCACAUCUUUCUCUUCUAGGGGGCAGCUUGGAUAGUCUAGGAUACUGUAUAAUAUGUAAUAUUUUGACGUUUCAUUUUAAAGGCGCGCUGUGUUUUGGAGGACCAUAAACAGAGAAGUUUCAUAAAUUAUGGAAGUGGGGCUGUCCUCCAGGGGUCCCAGGUUUUUCCCUCCCUUAGAAGUCUUCCUUUGUAAACAAGGCCUUUGUCAACCUUCCUAGGUCAGCAGCUUUCUGCUGCUCUAGAGAAAUAAUGAAUCAGUAUUUAUGACAUUUUGACAUGCUGCCAUGAAGACUCCUGACUUAUCUCAGGCACCACGCUGAGGACUGUUCCCCAGUCUCAGCAUUGUGAAGGAGGGCCAGCCAGUCUGGGCCACCAGAAGUUAGGAUUCAAACUGUUUCUGCUUAAGAUGCUGUGGAAGGAAGAAAACUAUGAUCCACAGUUCCUCUCUGUGGUAAUUUCUAAUGAGCAAAUGAGCAAAUGUCUCUCGUAUGAAAAGCCAGAUUUGGAGAUUGUUUUUUAUUUAUUUUUCCCUGUCAUUGUUCAGAAAAACUAUGUGUGUGUGUAACUUUUAAUAUCUAACUAGUUAAUAAAAUUAUGAGCCAUUAUAUAAGUAAUUGGGUAUAGAUAGUACAGAUGUUGGUAAUUUAUUUGGCAGAGUGUUUGGGAAGUUGUAAGGCCUUUGUUUUUCUCUAUACAGAAAGUUGUGACUUUGUGUUAAUUAGAGAACACAGGAGUCUAAUACUAAGCCUUGCCAGAGUUUGUGAAAGAGCAUAUUUUUUGCCUAAGAGAUUUAUUACCAAGUUAAAUAGGUUCUUGAAAACUGGGUUUGAAAGACUUUAUGUCUCUCUUACUGUUUAUUAUCUUUAUUAUUUUCCAUAUUAUUGUUAGUACCUUUUUUUGAAAGUGUGAAUAUCUGCACUUUCAAGUACUUAAGUUUUUUUUUAAUAUAAUUUAAAUACUUGAAUAAUUAUAGUUCAGCAGUUUGUCUAAGGGAUCCGAUGGAGCCAGUAGCUAAAUGAUGAGGUUUUAAAUAUUGACUAGAACCAUCUCAUUAAUUCUCUCACAUGAUCACCUAGAGUGAUGUAUUGGAUAAGGAUGUAAAUUCUCAUUUUUUUAUGUGUUUGCUUUUUGGAGACAAAGCCUUAUGUAUGCCAGACAGGCCCAGAAUUCACAAUCUGCCUGCUCCUAUAUCUUUACUGGAAUUACAGCUGUGUAUCGCCACACCUGGAGCUAAGGACAGAACACGGGACUUUGUGUAUGCCAGGCAAAUUCUCCACCAAUGGCAUCCUUAACACACAAUUUAUUUCUGGACUUUUGGGAAACUUUGUAUGAAUAGUGAUAUUUUACUGGUUCUUUGAGGGCCUGUGGGGCAUUGUGACAGGUAUAAUCAGGCUAUACUUCUAUGUGAUUUAUAGCAUCUUAUAUUACCAAACUAUAACUUUAGGCCAACUUAUCUUUAAUAUGCCCAAUGUUCCCUGACUGGCACAGUCAUAAUCGGAACUCAACAGUGAAUCCCUGAAAUGCAUGACAGUAACCAUUUAGGAACCAGUCUGUCAUCAAGAGGUCCACUGAACCUUUCUGGGUUUCAAUUCCUUGCCUACCACUGGAUGCACACUGGAAAAGGACCUCUUGGUCUAGGUCAAAACAGGUAUAGUGGUCUUCCCAAGGCUUAUUCAAGUUUUAGGUGGGUAAGCUUCAGUCCUAUACCAUUAUAUGUUCUACAUUUGUGCAAACACUACUGUCUUAGAAACUUUUCAAAACAAAUUACUUAAUCUACGUAUGGUCUGGGGUUUGUAAUUGAUGAAUGGAAUCCCCAGAAGUUGAGGCUGAAAUAAAACCUAGUUUAAAAGCCAUUAAGGUAUAAUUAUAAUCCCCUCUUCUUUAAAAAACAAAACCAAACAAAAUACUGGAUUUGGCAUUUGGGGGUUAAAAUUAGGUUUUUUAAAAAAAUGGCUGAGAAGAGCUGUAGUGUGUUGGCUCCCAGGUUACCUGAGAGGGAUUCUCUAUGGGAUUGCUCUCCAGUUGUGCCUUUCUUGUUUGAGAUGCUUGUGCAUUUUUUUGUGGCACACUGCAGUUCCUGCCAUCCCACUGGGAGAUGAGCCAUCCCUGUGGAAAUUGAAGGUCUGGGAGGAAAGCCUCUCCUGCCCCCAGGCUUUUAAACAACUGGACACAUAAUAGCUUGGCAAAUAUUUGCAGCUAUUCUGUGGUUUGCUGUUCUGUUCUGAGAUGCCAUUAAGCAAAGUCCAAAAUUCU